UACGUAGGGGGCAAGCGUUGUCCGGAAUCAUUGGGCGUAAAGCGCGUGUAGGCGGCUGACUAAGUCCGCUCUGAAAGCCCGGGGCUCAACCCCGGGAGGCGGGUGGAUACUGGUCAGCUCGAGUCCGGAAGAGGCGAGUGGAAUUCCUGGUGUAGCGGUGAAAUGCGCAGAUAUCAGGAGGAACACCGAUGGCGAAGGCAGCUCGCUGGGACGGUACUGACGCUGAGACGCGAAAGCGUGGGGAGCAAACAGG
Molecule: ribosomal RNA, 253 nt
Filed under: uncultured bacterium
Lineage: Bacteria
Description: partial 16S ribosomal RNA
Rfam family: Bacterial small subunit ribosomal RNA
Source: RNAcentral